CAAUAGCGUAUAUUUAAGUUGCUGCAGUUAAAAAGCUCGUAGUUGGAUUUCGGGUGGGAAUGGCCGGUCCGCCGUUUCGGUGUGCACUUGCUACGCCCACCUUGCUGCCGGGGACGUGCUCUUGAGUUCACGCUCGGGACACGGAGUCGGCGAGGUUACUUUGAGUAAAUUAGAGUGUUCAAAGCAGGCCUACGCUCUGAAUACAUUAGCAUGGAAUAACACGAUAGGACUCUGGCCUAUCUUGUUGGUCUGUAGGACCGGAGUAAUGAUUAAGAGGGACAGUUGGGGGCAUUUGUAUUCCGGCGCUAGAGGUGAAAUUCUUAGAUUGCCGGAAGACAAACUGCUGCGAAAGCGUCUGCCAAGGAUGUUUUCAUUGA
RNAcentral lists this ribosomal RNA (377 nucleotides) under uncultured eukaryote. RNAcentral describes it as "partial 18S ribosomal RNA". It matches the Rfam family "Eukaryotic small subunit ribosomal RNA", at positions 592 to 976 of the family's 1831-position model. The record is from RNAcentral.